RNAcentral lists this ribosomal RNA (694 nucleotides) under uncultured bacterium. RNAcentral's name for it is "bacterial SSU rRNA". It matches the Rfam family "Bacterial small subunit ribosomal RNA", at positions 790 to 1482 of the family's 1533-position model. The record is from RNAcentral.
GUAGUCCACGCCGUAAACGAUGGUCACUAGAUGUGGGGGGUGUCGACUCCCUCCGUGUCGUAGCUAACGCGUUAAGUGACCCGCCUGGGGAGUACGGCCGCAAGGCUAAAACUCAAAGGAAUUGACGGGGACCCGCACAAGCAGCGGAGCAUGUGGAUUAAUUCGACGCAACGCGAAGAACCUUACCUGGGCUUGACAUACUGCUGACCGCCGUGGAAACACGGCUUUCCUUCGGGACAGCAAUACAGGUGGUGCAUGGCUGUCGUCAGCUCGUGUCGUGAGAUGUUGGGUUGAGUCCCGCAACGAGCGCAACCCCCGUCCUAUGUUGCCAGCAUUCAGUUGGGGACUCAUAGGAGACUGCCGGUGACAAACCGGAGGAAGGUGGGGAUGACGUCAAGUCAUCAUGCCCCUUAUGUCCAGGGCUUCACACGUGCUACAUUGGCGCAUACAGAGGGCUGCGAUACCGCAAGGUGGAGCGAAUCCCAAAAAGUGCGUCUCGGUUCGGAUUGGGGGCUGAAACUCGCCUCCAUGAAGGCGGAGUUGCUAGUAAUCGCGGAUCAGCAUUGCCGCGGUGAAUACGUUCCCGGGCCUUGUACACACCGCCCGUCACACCACGGAAGCAAGCAACACCCGAAGCCGGUGGCCUAACCCUUUUGGGAGGGAGCCGUCGAAGGUGGGGCUCGUGACUGGGGUG